Molecule: ribosomal RNA, 405 nt
Filed under: uncultured bacterium
Lineage: Bacteria
Description: partial 16S ribosomal RNA
Rfam family: Bacterial small subunit ribosomal RNA
Source: RNAcentral
AUUGAACGCUGGCGGCAGGCCUAACACAUGCAAGUCGAACGAGUGGCGGACGGGUGAGUAAUGUUUGGGCAUCUGGCUUAUGUAGGGGGAUAACUACGGGAAACUGUUGCUAAUACCGCGUACCAUACGAUGCGCCUAAGUGGGAUUAGGUAGUUGGUGAGGUAAAGGCUCACCAAGCCGACGAUCUCUAGCUGGUCUGAGAGGAUGACCAGCCACACUGGGACUGAGACACGGCCCAGACUCCUACGGGAGGCAGCAGUGGGGAAUAUUGCGCAAUGGGGGCAACCUGACGCAGCCAUGCCGCGUGAAUGAAGAAGGCCUUCGGGUUGUAAAGUUCUUUCGGUAGCGAGGCGUUAACUACAGAAGAAGCACCGGCUAACUCCGUGCCAGCAGCCGCGGUAAUUC